GGAAAGACCCAGAACUUGUAGAUCCACCUACAAGGUAUAAUGUAGAUUACUGUUUCCGUGAGCAAUGGAACAAACUAUUAUAAUGAUGUGAAUCGUAUCAAGAAUCGAGAGAGGGUGGACAAACGAUUUCAGAUGAUUCUGUAGCCGUGCUGAUCACAUUGACGUUCUGAGUUGUGCCAACAUGGCAACGAACACCGAGGAUGUAGCCACAACGGGCUCACUGAUCACAGCAGCACAUAGCGGACAAGUACAAGUUGUGCAGCAGCUGCUGAAGGCUGGAGCAGAAGUAAAUAAUACCGAUCAGGAUGGCCGCACAGCGCUUUAUACAGCAGCGUGGAAGAACCAUGUGGAAGUUGUGCAGCAGCUGCUGAAGGCUGGAGC
This is a long non-coding RNA of Branchiostoma floridae (Florida lancelet), 381 nucleotides long. RefSeq lists it as uncharacterized. The record is from RefSeq and is a predicted model, not a curated record. The transcript has 3 exons. Lineage: Eukaryota; Metazoa; Chordata; Leptocardii; Amphioxiformes; Branchiostomatidae.